UGGCCUAUGAUGACAACACUUCAAUAAACCAUCUUUCGGGACUGAACGGUUUCAACCUUGAUGUUAUUCUGCAAUUCUGAGGCCC
Telopea speciosissima is the source of this 85-nucleotide small nucleolar RNA. RefSeq annotates it as small nucleolar RNA SNORD96 family. The record is from RefSeq and is a predicted model, not a curated record. Lineage: Eukaryota; Viridiplantae; Streptophyta; Magnoliopsida; Proteales; Proteaceae. The transcript has a single exon.